GAUGAACGCUGGCGGCGUGCCUAAUACAUGCAAGUCGAGCGAACAGACGAGGAGCUUGCUCCUCUGACGUUAGCGGCGGACGGGUGAGUCACACGUGGAUAACCUACCUAUAAGACUGGGAUAACUUCGGGAAACCGGAGCUAAUACCGGAUAAUAUAUUGAACCGCAUGGUUCAAUAGUGAAAGACGGUUUUGCUUUCACUUAUAGAUGGAUCCGCGCCGCAUUAGCUAGUUGGUAAGGUAACGGCUUACCCAGGCAACGAUGCGUAGCCGACCUGAGAGGGUGAUCGGCCACACUGUAUCUGAGACACGGUCCAGACUCCUACGGGAGGCAGCAGUAGGGAAUCUUCCGCGAGGGGGGAAAGCCUGACGGAGCAACGCCGCGUGAGUGAUGAAGUUCUUCUGAUCGUAAAACUCUGUUAUUAGGGAAGAACAAAUGUGUAAGUAACUAUGCACGUCUUGACGGUACCUAAUCAGAAAGCCACGGCUAACUACGUG
This 497-nucleotide ribosomal RNA is filed under the name uncultured bacterium. Its description in RNAcentral is "partial 16S ribosomal RNA". It matches the Rfam family "Bacterial small subunit ribosomal RNA", at positions 28 to 507 of the family's 1533-position model. The record is from RNAcentral.